UUGACCUCAAAUCAGGUAGGACUACCCGCUGAACUUAAGCAUAUCAAUAAGCGGAGGAAAARAAACUAACAAGGAUUCCCUUAGUAACUGCGAGUGAAGUGGGAAAAGCUCAAAUUUAAAAUCUGGUGGUCUUUGGCUGCCCG
Molecule: ribosomal RNA, 143 nt
Filed under: Entoloma flavovelutinum
Lineage: Eukaryota; Fungi; Basidiomycota; Agaricomycetes; Agaricales; Entolomataceae
Description: partial 28S ribosomal RNA
Rfam family: Eukaryotic large subunit ribosomal RNA
Source: RNAcentral